RNAcentral lists this ribosomal RNA (321 nucleotides) under uncultured Pseudomonadota bacterium. RNAcentral describes it as "bacterial SSU rRNA". It matches the Rfam family "Bacterial small subunit ribosomal RNA", at positions 30 to 351 of the family's 1533-position model. The record is from RNAcentral. Lineage: Bacteria; Pseudomonadati; Pseudomonadota.
AUUGAACGCUGGCGGCAUGCCUUACACAUGCAAGUCGAACGGCAGCACGGGGGCAACCCUGGUGGCGAGUGGCGAACGGGUGAGUAAUGCAUCGGAACGUGCCCAGUAGUGGGGGAUAACGUAGCGAAAGUUACGCUAAUACCGCAUACGAUCUACGGAUGAAAGCGGGGGAUCGCAAGACCUCGCGCGAAUGGAGCGGCCGAUAUCAGAUUAGGUAGUUGGUGGGGUAAAGGCUCACCAAGCCAACGAUCUGUAGCUGGUCUGAGAGGACGACCAGCCACACUGGAACUGAGACACGGUCCAGACUCCUACGGGAGGCAG